UGGGGAAUAUUGCACAAUGGGCGCAAGCCUGAUGCAGCCAUGCCGCGUGUGUGAAGAAGGCCUUCGGGUUGUAAAGCACUUUCAGCGGGGAGGAAGGCGAUAAGGUUAAUAACCUUGUCGAUUGACGUUACCCGCAGAAGAAGCACCGGCUAACUCCGUGCCAGCAGCCGCGGUAAUACGGAGGGUGCAAGCGUUAAUCGGAAUUACUGGGCGUAAAGCGCACGCAGGCGGUCUGUCAAGUCGGAUGUGAAAUCCCCGGGCUCAACCUGGGAAGUGCGAUCGAAACUGGCAGGCUAGAGUAUUGUAGAGGGGAGUAGAAUUACAGGUGUAGAGGUAAAGUGCGUAGAGGUGUGGAGGAAUACCGGUGACGAGGGCGGCCCCUGGACAAAGACUGACGCUAAGGUGCGAAGGCGUGGGGAGCAAACAGG
Molecule: ribosomal RNA, 428 nt
Filed under: Chloroflexota bacterium
Lineage: Bacteria; Bacillati; Chloroflexota
Description: Chloroflexi bacterium partial 16S ribosomal RNA
Rfam family: Bacterial small subunit ribosomal RNA
Source: RNAcentral